AUUGAACGCUGGCGGCAUGCCUUACACAUGCAAGUCGAACGGCAGCACGGGUGCUUGCACCUGGUGGCGAGUGGCGAACGGGUGAGUAAUACAUCGGAACAUGUCCUGUAGUGGGGGAUAGCCCGGCGAAAGCCGGAUUAAUACCGCAUACGAUCCACGGAUGAAAGCGGGGGACCUUCGGGCCUCGCGCUAUAGGGUUGGCCGAUGGCUGAUUAGCUAGUUGGUGGGGUAAAGGCCUACCAAGGCGACGAUCAGUAGCUGGUCUGAGAGGACGACCAGCCACACUGGGACUGAGACACGGCCCAGACUCCUACGGGAGGCAGCAGUGGGGAAUUUUGGGCAAUGGGCGAAAGCCUGAUCCAGCAAUGCCGCGUGUGUGAAGAAGGCCUUCGGGUUGUAAAGCACUUUUGUCCGGAAAGAAAUCCUUGGCUCUAAUACAGUCGGGGGGUGACGGUACCGGAAGAAUAAGCACCGGCUAACUACGUG
This 486-nucleotide ribosomal RNA is filed under the name uncultured bacterium. RNAcentral describes it as "partial 16S ribosomal RNA". It matches the Rfam family "Bacterial small subunit ribosomal RNA", at positions 30 to 507 of the family's 1533-position model. The record is from RNAcentral.